Molecule: small nuclear RNA, 110 nt
Filed under: Helicosporidium sp. ATCC 50920
Lineage: Eukaryota; Viridiplantae; Chlorophyta; Trebouxiophyceae; Chlorellales; Chlorellaceae
Description: U5 spliceosomal RNA
Rfam family: U5 spliceosomal RNA
About the family: U5 RNA is a component of both types of known spliceosome. The precise function of this molecule is unknown, though it is known that the 5' loop is required for splice site selection and p220 binding, and that both the 3' stem-loop and the Sm site are important for Sm protein binding and cap methylation.
Source: Rfam by way of RNAcentral
AUGGCUUCGAUUUUAGCGUAACGUUUUGUUUUUCCGCCUUUUACUGAAAAACACCGCGCUAUCUUCGAACUUCAGCCACAUUACCAAUUUUUCUGGGACGCUUUGCGUCU